Molecule: microRNA precursor, 52 nt
Filed under: Camelus bactrianus (Bactrian camel)
Lineage: Eukaryota; Metazoa; Chordata; Mammalia; Artiodactyla; Camelidae
Also listed under: 2 other names
Description: mir-1302 microRNA precursor family
Rfam family: mir-1302 microRNA precursor family
Source: Rfam by way of RNAcentral
AUUUAAGUAUAAGUAUGUCCCAUGCAAUAUUUGGGACAUGUUUAUACUAAAG